AGCAGCGUGGCUCAGUGGAAUGAGCAUGGGCUUGGGAAUCAGAGGUCACGGGCUCAAAUCCCGGCGCUGCCA
Molecule: transfer RNA, 72 nt
Filed under: Ornithorhynchus anatinus (platypus)
Lineage: Eukaryota; Metazoa; Chordata; Mammalia; Monotremata; Ornithorhynchidae
Rfam family: tRNA
About the family: Transfer RNA (tRNA) molecules are approximately 80 nucleotides in length. Their secondary structure includes four short double-helical elements and three loops (D, anti-codon, and T loops). Further hydrogen bonds mediate the characteristic L-shaped molecular structure. tRNAs have two regions of fundamental functional importance: the anti-codon, which is responsible for specific mRNA codon recognition, and the 3' end, to which the tRNAs corresponding amino acid is attached (by aminoacyl-tRNA synthetases). tRNAs cope with the degeneracy of the genetic code in two manners: having more than one tRNA (with a specific anti-codon) for a particular amino acid; and 'wobble' base-pairing, i.e. permitting non-standard base-pairing at the 3rd anti-codon position.
Source: Rfam by way of RNAcentral